CAUAAAUGGGUUUUGUACUAGUUGUUGAAUUAUCUUUGUUCAAUUUUGAUGUUUAUCAUUUUACCCUCCUUUCCAAUUUGUGUUUUUAAUGCUGUUUUAGAUUAUGGAUUCUCUUUAUUGCUUCUGUUUCUGGUUAGCAUGUAUUUUUUGUAAAGUUAUAAUACUUUACUUUUUUGGGAAAAAAGGAGAGUGGUUCAUACUAUAUUUUGUACUGGUUGUUAGUGCAUUGUUUAACAAAAUUAGCAUGUAUCAUAAAGAAUUCCAGGAGAAUAUCAGAGCGGUUGAGUGAAUUUGGUAGAUGUUCCCUUUGUAGCUAGUAUGGAAGUUGUGUUGAGCCAUCCCUAUCUGCCUAGAUUUACUUGUUUUGGACUGUUAUAUUAAAUUUGACUUUGUUGUCCCUAACUUUUCUUGAGCCUACAAGUGUGCAUGCCAUGGGUUGCAAUUAUCGUCAAUUUCAGUCAGUAAUCAUUUCUGAAUAUCUCUGUGAUGCUGUAAUAAUGCCAUUGUGGUGUAACAAUCAGUUUGUUUCUCUGAACUUUCAUAAUGCUCCGUAAGCAUCAUAUAUGUCCAUGCAGUUGUACCAUCAACAUUUUAUUUGCUGAAUAAGGAAAAUUACUAUUUUUUCUACCAAUUAUAAUCAUCAUGGUUUGGAUAUAAAGUUUUUUGAAAAGGUCAUGGACUAAUGCUAAAUUUGUAGUUUGCUGAUAUUUAUAUUGCAAUUGGCUGUUUGAAGGCAUCAUGCUUCUGAACUUGGAUGGAUGUUCGUUCAUUGAUCAAAUUUUCUUUUCUAAUAUUAUCUAGUGAUAUUCUUAAUGUAAAUGUUUAUUUGUUUAGUUUUAUGAAUGUGGAUUCUGUUUGUGGUGUCAGAUUGAUGAGAAUGUGCAGAGAG
This 889-nucleotide unclassified non-coding RNA is filed under the name Hevea brasiliensis (rubber tree). Lineage: Eukaryota; Viridiplantae; Streptophyta; Magnoliopsida; Malpighiales; Euphorbiaceae. The record is from RNAcentral.